Molecule: long non-coding RNA, 2528 nt
Filed under: Marmota monax (woodchuck)
Lineage: Eukaryota; Metazoa; Chordata; Mammalia; Rodentia; Sciuridae
Source: RNAcentral
UUUUUUUUAAAGUUCAAAACACGUGUAUUUGAAGUCAGGAGGUUUAUAAUGGUUUAGUGUCCUGGUUCUGAAGGAGACAGACCUCUUUGAUUUCCACUUCAGCCACUUACUAAUCAUGUGGCAUUUGGCAAAGUACAUAACUUCUCUCUGGGAGUUGGCAUCCUCAUCUGUGAAAUUGGGGUACCCUCGGAAGAGGGCUUACCUGAAAGGCCUUGGCCCUGAGUUCAGUGCUCCCUACUGAGCAUUCAGUGAGUGGUGGUGAGUACCAUUGCUCUGCCCCCGACUCCCUUGCACCCUUAAUAAAUUUAUUCUUCCAGCUUCCUAGGACUCAGAAUCCAGGUGGGUGUCUAGAACCUUUUUUUUUUUUAAUUGUUGAUGGACCUUUAUUUAUUAAUUUAUUUUAUGUGGUGCUGAGAACCGAACCCAGUGCCUCAUAUGUUCUAGGCAAGUGCGCUACCAACUGAGCCACAACCCCAGCCCUGUUUAGAACCUUUUCCUGUGUCUGGAGGCUAGGGACAGGCUGGGGGACCAACCCCUUCCACUUUCAAGACAGUGUGGGUCCACCUCAUGCUGCAUACUUCCAUCCCUGGAUUAUUUUAAAGAGCUUUUUAUUAUGAAAUAAUUUCAGAAUAAUAGAGUGUCAAGGGCAACAGAACAUUUUGCCACAUUUUACUAUUCAUUCUUUCCUUCCUCAUCCUCUGGGCUCCUUUUUUUUCUUUCCCUUCUCUCUGAGCCAUGAACUAUUUAAGAGUUAUUUGCAUACAUCAUGCCCCUUCAUCCAUACAGAGUUUUUUAGUGUAUGUUUCCUGAGAACAAAGGCAUUUCCUCACAUAUCCAUAGCAUAGUUACCAAAUUCAGGAAAUAUGUAAUUUCUGGCCUAUAUGAGAGCUACUUAUUUCUAUGUAGUUCAUCCCUCAGUUUUGUCAGCUGGCCCAAUAAUGUACUUUAAAAAAUAUUUUAUUUUUUCUGGUCCAGGGUCCAAUUCAGCAUGGAGGACUUUCCUGCUUUUAGUAAUCCUCUCUUGUUUCCUUUAAACUGGAGAAGUUCCUUAGCCUUUUUUUGUCUUUCUUGACAUUGAUUUGUUUUGAAGAUUACAGUCAAAUUGAUGUAGAAUAUCCUUUCAGUUGGUCCCUUAACAUUCAUUUAAAGUAAAAUGAGUUAGGAAACCACUUUCCCUUUUCUUUUGUAUAAAUAUGUAUUUGCUGAACACACAACCUUGUAUUGCAUGCUGUGAGGGAGGGACAAAGCCUGGUCCCAACUUGAGGACCUUAAGUUUGGGUUUGUGGGAAAGUAUUUCCAUCAGGUAGGCUGAAGGGACCCCCUGUGUUCUUGUGCCUGGAGGCACUCACAAGCCUGGAUACUUAUAUCUUGGAUGGAUGCAAGAUGAGUCAGCAUUCUAGAGGCCUACAAAGAUGCAGAAAAUGGCCCUGCUUCCUUUCCAGCAUCAGUCAUCAUUACCUGGACUCCUGAGGUGCUCCAAAGAUCACACUCCAAACACGAAGUUUUGCGGAAGUCUUGAAUAAGCUGCAGCCAUGGUUUCUAGCCCUGCCUACCAAAGGUUCUGCUCUGAUUUGGGGAUACUCCCUUUCCUUCUGGGCCAUUGCUGGGAAGAAGAGUUCCUGUGUGGCUCUACUAAGUGCCACUGGAACUCAGGAUGAAUUGGGGAAAGGAAAGUCACUGAGCCCUGGAAUGAUGGGAAGGUGGGCUGCAGGUUGCAGGCCUCAACGCAACCUGUGACAAGGUUAAGCAACCUUAGGAUGAUCUGCAUUUUGACCUGGCUGGCAGAUUAGAUCCUCAGACCUGAAGCUUUGCUUUUUUCAGCUUUUUAGCUUCUCUGCUGAGUGAUACACAUGGAGGAUCUAGUCAAGUAUUUUAUCAGACCAAAGCAGACAGUGCAAAAACAUUUGAAGUGUCAUUGAAUCUUCACAAAACAGUGGCCAAACAAGGUUUCAAUAUGAGAAAAUAAAAUUGAUUUUCAUGUAGUCAUUAAGUCAACACCAUUGCCUACUUUGUUAAUACACUAACAUUUCAAAGUACUAUCUGGGCUGCAGACAUUCCUAUAAUAGAUGAGAGACAACCCUGUCUUUCUGAAUUUAACUUAAGUGUUAAGUACAAGCCGGGCAUAAUGGCUCAUGCGUGUAAUCUGAGCGGCUCAGGAGGCUGAGGCAGGAAGAUUUCAAAGCCAGCCUCAGCAACUUAGCAAGACCCUAAACAACACAGCAAGACCCUAUCUCUAAAUAAAAUAUAAAAAAGGGCUGAGGAUGUGGUUCAGUGGUGAAGAACCUAUGAGUUCAAUUCCUGGUACCAAAAAAGAAAAAGAAUAAGUACAAUAUAAAAUUCAAUCCCUGGGUUGCUCUGAUGACAUUUUAAGGGUUCAGUAGCCACAUGUAGCCAAUGGCUACUGAGUUGAACAGUGCAGUCCAGAGCAGUUCCACCUCUGCACAGAGUUAAGUUGGACUAUGCUCCCUGCACUUCCUGAAGCUUGAGGAGCUGUGGUGUGGAGAGGCCUCCUUCCCUGAUAGACUUUC